RNAcentral lists this long non-coding RNA (971 nucleotides) under Malus domestica (apple). RNAcentral's name for it is "long non-coding RNA (MDOM_LNC001757)". Lineage: Eukaryota; Viridiplantae; Streptophyta; Magnoliopsida; Rosales; Rosaceae. The record is from RNAcentral.
UCUCCUUCUGCCGCAAGGCAGCUGUGCUGCCAGCCUUCUGUCCUCCCUUUAUUUUCUGCAGCUGUCCUCUCCUUGUUCUGCCAGUCAAGCUGCCAAAGGCAGCUUGUGACCUCACCUCAUGCUCAAGCUGCCCCGUUUCUUUUUUUAUCUUUCCUGCACGCUGCCUUCUGUUUCAUUCUUUCCCCUUUCUUCUAAUCCGUCCUCCUUGGAUCCUUUUAGCUGUCUCUCACUCAUCUCUCCACCGCUGCCCAAAAGCAGCUUUCUCCUUUAUUCUUCUUUUUUUUUAUUUCUGGCCUCACCUCCCCGUAGCUAAGUUGUCCUCCUCUUAUUUUCUGUUAUGCCACAAAACAUGAAUCAUGAUGAUGUUUCAAACAUCAUCAUGAUUUAUUAUUAUUAUUUCUUUUAUUAAUUUUAUGUAAAAGUUGAUUUACACAGACAGGUUUAACGAAUUUAUUACAUAAAAUUUCACUUGUUCUAUUUUUAUUUUCUUUGCAUAACAAAUCCUAUAAACACAAAAAUAACGUAAAUAGCUCAAAAAUAUAAGGAACUAACUAAGAAAAGACGAGUGAAUUCGAAGUAAAAAUAUAUAUAAAUAUGAUCCGAUCACCCAAAUUUAAAUCCAACGGCUAAAAUAAUUAAAAAAAAUUAUUUAACUCAAAAUUCACCAAAAAACUCUAUAAAUACCUAUGUAUUUGUUCAAACAUUCACACAAAACUCAAUUUUCUCCUACAAUUCUUCCAAUUUAUCUUUCUAUCAUUUCUUUCCAUUUCCAAAUUGUUCAACAUGGUAAGAGAACAUAUUAGAGGUCGUAAUUGGACAUGUGAGGAAGAUGUUAGCCCAGGGUUGAAAGAUUGGUGAAAGUUGAAGGCUUGCUUUGUGGAAAAUUUAGUGAUUUUCAAUAUUUAUCGGAAUUUAAAUAUUUUUAGAUUAAAAUGUUCAUAAAAUUAAUUUACGAUAGUCUACAUAUAUAU